RNAcentral lists this ribosomal RNA (2870 nucleotides) under Escherichia coli. Its description in RNAcentral is "partial 23S ribosomal RNA". It matches the Rfam family "Bacterial large subunit ribosomal RNA". The record is from RNAcentral. Lineage: Bacteria; Pseudomonadati; Pseudomonadota; Gammaproteobacteria; Enterobacterales; Enterobacteriaceae.
AUGAAGGACGUGCUAAUCUGCGAUAAGCGUCGGUAAGGUGAUAUGAACCGUUAUAACCGGCGAUUUCCGAAUGGGGAAACCCAGUGUGUUUCGACACACUAUCAUUAACUGAAUCCAUAGGUUAAUGAGGCGAACCGGGGGAACUGAAACAUCUAAGUACCCCGAGGAAAAGAAAUCAACCGAGAUUCCCCCAGUAGCGGCGAGCGAACGGGGAGSAGCCCAGAGCCUGAAUCAGUGUGUGUGUUAGUGGAAGCGUCUGGAAAGGCGCGCGAUACAGGGUGACAGCCCCGUACACAAAAAUGCACAUGCUGUGAGCUCGAUGAGUAGGGCGGGACACGUGGUAUCCUGUCUGAAUAUGGGGGGACCAUCCUCCAAGGCUAAAUACUCCUGACUGACCGAUAGUGAACCAGUACCGUGAGGGAAAGGCGAAAAGAACCCCGGCGAGGGGAGUGAAAAAGAACCUGAAACCGUGUACGUACAAGCAGUGGGAGCACGCUUAGGCGUGUGACUGCGUACCUUUUGUAUAAUGGGUCAGCGACUUAUAUUCUGUAGCAAGGUUAACCGAAUAGGGGAGCCGAAGGGAAACCGAGUCUUAACUGGGCGUUAAGUUGCAGGGUAUAGACCCGAAACCCGGUGAUCUAGCCAUGGGCAGGUUGAAGGUUGGGUAACACUAACUGGAGGACCGAACCGACUAAUGUUGAAAAAUUAGCGGAUGACUUGUGGCUGGGGGUGAAAGGCCAAUCAAACCGGGAGAUAGCUGGUUCUCCCCGAAAGCUAUUUAGGUAGCGCCUCGUGAAUUCAUCUCCGGGGGUAGAGCACUGUUUCGGCAAGGGGGUCAUCCCGACUUACCAACCCGAUGCAAACUGCGAAUACCGGAGAAUGUUAUCACGGGAGACACACGGCGGGUGCUAACGUCCGUCGUGAAGAGGGAAACAACCCAGACCGCCAGCUAAGGUCCCAAAGUCAUGGUUAAGUGGGAAACGAUGUGGGAAGGCCCAGACAGCCAGGAUGUUGGCUUAGAAGCAGCCAUCAUUUAAAGAAAGCGUAAUAGCUCACUGGUCGAGUCGGCCUGCGCGGAAGAUGUAACGGGGCUAAACCAUGCACCGAAGCUGCGGCAGCGACGCUUAUGCGUUGUUGGGUAGGGGAGCGUUCUGUAAGCCUGUGAAGGUGUGCUGUGAGGCAUGCUGGAGGUAUCAGAAGUGCGAAUGCUGACAUAAGUAACGAUAAAGCGGGUGAAAAGCCCGCUCGCCGGAAGACCAAGGGUUCCUGUCCAACGUUAAUCGGGGCAGGGUGAGUCGACCCCUAAGGCGAGGCCGAAAGGCGUAGUCGAUGGGAAACAGGUUAAUAUUCCUGUACUUGGUGUUACUGCGAAGGGGGGACGGAGAAGGCUAUGUUGGCCGGGCGACGGUUGUCCCGGUUUAAGCGUGUAGGCUGGUUUUCCAGGCAAAUCCGGAAAAUCAAGGCUGAGGCGUGAUGACGAGGCACUACGGUGCUGAAGCAACAAAUGCCCUGCUUCCAGGAAAAGCCUCUAAGCAUCAGGUAACAUCAAAUCGUACCCCAAACCGACACAGGUGGUCAGGUAGAGAAUACCAAGGCGCUUGAGAGAACUCGGGUGAAGGAACUAGGCAAAAUGGUGCCGUAACUUCGGGAGAAGGCACGCUGAUAUGUAGGUGAAGUCCCUCGCGGAUGGAGCUGAAAUCAGUCGAAGAUACCAGCUGGCUGCAACUGUUUAUUAAAAACACAGCACUGUGCAAACACGAAAGUGGACGUAUACGGUGUGACGCCUGCCCGGUGCCGGAAGGUUAAUUGAUGGGGUCAGCGCAAGCGAAGCUCUUGAUCGAAGCCCCGGUAAACGGCGGCCGUAACUAUAACGGUCCUAAGGUAGCGAAAUUCCUUGUCGGGUAAGUUCCGACCUGCACGAAUGGCGUAAUGAUGGCCAGGCUGUCUCCACCCGAGACUCAGUGAAAUUGAACUCGCUGUGAAGAUGCAGUGUACCCGCGGCAAGACGGAAAGACCCCGUGAACCUUUACUAUAGCUUGACACUGAACAUUGAGCCUUGAUGUGUAGGAUAGGUGGGAGGCUUAGAAGUGUGGACGCCAGUCUGCAUGGAGCCGACCUUGAAAUACCACCCUUUAAUGUUUGAUGUUCUAACGUUGACCCGUAAUCCGGGUUGCGGACAGUGUCUGGUGGGUAGUUUGACUGGGGCGGUCUCCUCCUAAAGAGUAACGGAGGAGCACGAAGGUUGGCUAAUCCUGGUCGGACAUCAGGAGGUUAGUGCAAUGGCAUAAGCCAGCUUGACUGCGAGCGUGACGGCGCGAGCAGGUGCGAAAGCAGGUCAUAGUGAUCCGGUGGUUCUGAAUGGAAGGGCCAUCGCUCAACGGAUAAAAGGUACUCCGGGGAUAACAGGCUGAUACCGCCCAAGAGUUCAUAUCGACGGCGGUGUUUGGCACCUCGAUGUCGGCUCAUCACAUCCUGGGGCUGAAGUAGGUCCCAAGGGUAUGGCUGUUCGCCAUUUAAAGUGGUACGCGAGCUGGGUUUAGAACGUCGUGAGACAGUUCGGUCCCUAUCUGCCGUGGGCGCUGGAGAACUGAGGGGGGCUGCUCCUAGUACGAGAGGACCGGAGUGGACGCAUCACUGGUGUUCGGGUUGUCAUGCCAAUGGCACUGCCCGGUAGCUAAAUGCGGAAGAGAUAAGUGCUGAAAGCAUCUAAGCACGAAACUUGCCCCGAGAUGAGUUCUCCCUGACUCCUUGAGAGUCCUGAAGGAACGUUGAAGACGACGACGUUGAUAGGCCGGGUGUGUAAGCGCAGCGAUGCGUUGAGCUAACCGGUACUAAUGAACCGUGAGGCUUAACCUUACAACGCCGAAGCG